Molecule: ribosomal RNA, 228 nt
Filed under: uncultured bacterium
Lineage: Bacteria
Description: partial 16S ribosomal RNA
Rfam family: Bacterial small subunit ribosomal RNA
Source: RNAcentral
UGAGCAAUCUGCCCUUCUCAUCGGAAUAAGCGUUGGAAACGACGUCUAAUGCCGAAUACGACCUCCUUUCGCAUGAUCGGAGGUGGAAAGCUCCGGCGGAGAAGGAUGAGCUCGCGGCCUAUCAGCUAGUUGGUGUGGGUAAUGGCCCACCAAGGCGACGACGGGUAGCUGGUCUGAGAGGAUGGCCAGCCACAUUGGGACUGAGACACGGCCCAGACUCCGUACGGG